Molecule: long non-coding RNA, 2093 nt
Filed under: Olea europaea subsp. europaea
Lineage: Eukaryota; Viridiplantae; Streptophyta; Magnoliopsida; Lamiales; Oleaceae
Source: RNAcentral
CGUUGAUCUUUGAGCAAUUCAGGGGCAUAAAUCUUCCCCUCCCUCCUCUCCUUGCUCUGAAGGGAGAGAAACUAAACGUUUUCGUAACUCUCUCCGAUCGUGAUUUCUCUUCAAUCAGCUCAUUCAUAUACACCGGCAGAGGUACGUGCAGAUAUAUGAGUUGAUUCUUUUUCCGUUUCGUUUUCACGUUCUGAUCUAUUGUCGUUCUGAUUUUCCCCCCUUUUUAUGAUUGUUUAUAAUUAAGACCGAUUAUAUUCGAAAUGAAGAUGAAGUGGUGGGGCCAAAUGAUAGUUCCAAUGCAAAAAGUUUGGACCAACUUCUCUUACCGUCUCGGUUAUCGCAAAAAUGGUUAAUUUUCACAACUCGGAGUUAUUUGUUGGUUGCUUAUCUUUUUAUUUUCCUUAAGAUUUGAUUCCCAAUUGUUGUUUUGUGCUCCAUUGAUAUGCUUACACUGUAUUUUUUAUGAUUUGUUUUGAUUAAACUAUUGGAAAUAUCAGAAUGGUUGUUUAUUGGGAAUAUUGUAAUUAAUCAUUCGCGUGGGUCUCAUCUUAUAAUAAUAUGUAAUACAAGGGGAUUCUAAAAUGGAUCCAGAAUUUUGAGUGAGCAUGGACGGUUGUUGACAAUAAAUUGGUUUAAAAGAGAUUCAAUCCCUGGUGCUCCAUUUAACCUAAAACUUUUAUUUAUUGUCAAAAAAAAGGAAAAAUUGUUAUCAACAGAUCCAGCACGUGUGGCCGUUGGUGCUCGUCAGGCACUAGAUCCACCACUAUCUAGAACCCUAAUCUUUUUAGAGCAUUAAUUUGUUAAAGGCGGUGGGAGGAAAAAGUUUCAAUUAGUUGAUUCAAAUUUAUUUGAAACAAUGUUUAGUUUGCUAUGUUAUUGUUACAUAAUCAAUUAGUUAAGUAGUCAAAUAGAGUUACCUGUCCAUAUGGAUUAAGUUCAUGAUACUGUCAAGGAAGGCACUUGUGGUACAUCUUCUUGUGCUGUUAAUAUGCAGGCUAAAUUUGAUGAAAUGAUGACAUAUCUUUUCAUAUAGACUUAGAUAAGGCUUGUUAUCUUUGUUUUUUUAUCAAACAUUCUUUAUUCUCUAUUAAGCAAUUGACGUUUAGUUAUCAAUAAGAAGAUAAAAUUUCCAUCAGAGGUGGUUCACACUUAGUAUAUUUUGGUAGUGAAAAUUUAUUACCAGAAGCAUUUACUCUUUUGGAAAUCUUGAUAUUAGACAAACAUUCAUCUUGUCAAACCACCUCAUCCAGUGACUCAAACUAUUAAAUUAAAUAGAGUAUACGUUUACUUAUUUAAAUUUAGUCAUCAUACACAUCAUCUAUGUGGUGGUCAUAUGUUGAUUUGUUCCAAGCUUUCAUUGUUUAUGGUCCAAAUGUGAAGGUUGGAACAUUGAACUACCAUGUGAAAUCAAAUUUCUCGAAUAUUUCAGGGCUAGUAAAGCUUCACCAAGAUAUUAGGACAUGUGAGUACGAAGAUGUCCACAUCUUGUGGAAUAUGCUGAAGAGAAAUGAGACAGAUCUCACUAGAAGGAAAAAGGAGCCCUUUUGGAACAUCCUUCGAUGGGCAAAGCAUGCUUCAUUUCCUUGCCGUGGUAUGUGAACAUACCCAUAUGCAGUGAGUUUUUUAUGCUUUUGUUCUCUGAAUGUUGUAUGUUGAAGACUUAAAAAGUAAUCAGCAUAUUAUCUUGUAAGGGUAAUCACAUGUUUUUGAAGCAUAUCAUAUGCUGUUUAUAAUGUAAACCUGCAUAUAGAUUAAUUUUUCUCCCUUUUGUUAUUUAAUGUCAAAUGUAUUAUGGAGCUGGCGCUUAGUAUUUGCCUCUGUUACUGAAUCCUUGACACGUUGAAUAUAACCUCCUAUUUUGGGAGUAAAUAAGACGGUGUGGAUAACUUUUGAUACUUGUAAAUAGAUCGAAUGUUUUUUAUAGCAGGCUGCAGUGAUUUGUAAAUAGCAAGAGUAGGCUUACCGUUAUGCUAUCCCAACAAUGGGAACAAUUUGGAGUUUAGAUUGUUGUUCAAAACAGAGUUGAUACCACUAGGUGAACCUUUGACACUUGUUUGUGUGUGUGUGUGUGUCUCUCUCUCUCUCUCUCUCUC